This 369-nucleotide ribosomal RNA is filed under the name uncultured bacterium. RNAcentral's name for it is "bacterial SSU rRNA". It matches the Rfam family "Bacterial small subunit ribosomal RNA", at positions 506 to 873 of the family's 1533-position model. The record is from RNAcentral.
GUUCAGCCGCCGCGGUAAUACGUAGGGUGCGAGCGUUAAUCGGAAUUACUGGGCGUAAAGCGAGCGCAGGCGGUUUUGUAAGUCAGAUGUGAAAGCCCCGGGCUCAACCUGGGAACUGCGUUUGAAACUGCAAGGCUAGAGUAUGGGAGAGGGGGGUAGAAUUCCACGUGUAGCAGUGAAAUGCGUAGAGAUGUGGAGGAAUACCAAUGGCGAAGGCAGCCCCCUGGCCUAAUACUGACGCUCAUGCUCGAAAGCGUGGGGAGCAAACAGGAUUAGAUACCCUGGUAGUCCACGCCCUAAACGAUGUCUACUAGUUGUUGGUGGAGUAAAAUCCAUUAGUAACGCAGCUAACGCGUGAAGUAGACCGCC